AUCCUUGAACCAGUUGUGAGGUGGCAGGAGGGGAAAACUGGUCUUCCUUGACUUACGUGCCCAUUCAUUUCAUUCUCAUGUUCCUUCCACCGGUGAUCGAGGUGUGUGCUCUAUCCUAAUUUGGCCCUUGCUUGAACUUAGUGAGCUACUCCCAGAUAGAACUGAGUCUAGGCUCAGUCCAGCUCAUCAACCUGGUCCAUCUGUGGUUGGUGAUGUGACCGAUGGAGAUAUUGGGAUCACCUCACC
RNAcentral lists this long non-coding RNA (246 nucleotides) under Elaeis guineensis (African oil palm). RNAcentral's name for it is "long non-coding RNA (EGUI_LNC051828)". The record is from RNAcentral. Lineage: Eukaryota; Viridiplantae; Streptophyta; Magnoliopsida; Arecales; Arecaceae.